GCUACGGGGGGCAGCAGUGAGGAAUAUUGGUCAAUGGACGAGAGUCUGAACCAGCCAAGUCGCGUGCAGGAUGACUGCCCUAUGGGUUGUAAACUUCUUUUGUACAGGAAUAAAACGAGGCACGUGUGCCUUUUUGCAUGUACUUUAUGAAUAAGGAUCGGCUAACUCCGUGCCAGCAGCCGCGGUAAUACGGAGGAUCCGAGCGUUAUCCGGAUUUAUUGGGUUUAAAGGGAGCGUAGAUGGUUUGUUAAGUCAGUGGUGAAAGUUUGGGGCUCAACCGUAAAAUUGCAAUUGAUACUGGCAGUCUUGAGUACAGUUGAGGUAGGCGGAAUGCGUGGUGUAGCGGUGAAAUGCUUAGAGAUCACGAAGAACCCCGAUUGCGAAGGCAGCUUACUAAACUGUGACUGACAUUGAUGCUCGAAAGUGUGGGUAUCAAACAGGAUUAGAUACCCCAGUAGUC
Molecule: ribosomal RNA, 460 nt
Filed under: uncultured bacterium
Lineage: Bacteria
Description: partial 16S ribosomal RNA
Rfam family: Bacterial small subunit ribosomal RNA
Source: RNAcentral